RNAcentral lists this ribosomal RNA (497 nucleotides) under uncultured bacterium. RNAcentral's name for it is "partial 16S ribosomal RNA". It matches the Rfam family "Bacterial small subunit ribosomal RNA", at positions 28 to 507 of the family's 1533-position model. The record is from RNAcentral.
GACGAACGCUGGCGGCGUGCCUAAUACAUGCAAGUUGAGCGAUGAAGCUUGGUGCUUGCACCAAUUUGCAGAGCAGCGAACGGGUGAGUAACGCGUGGGGAAUCUGCCUUUGAGCGGGGGACAACAUUUGGAAACGAAUGCUAAUACCGCAUAACAACUUUAAACAUAAGUUUUAAGUUUGAAAGAUGCAAUUGCAUCACUCAAAGAUGAUCCCGCGUUGUAUUAGCUAGUUGGUGAGGUAAAGGCUCACCAAGGCGAUGAUACAUAGCCGACCUGAGAGGGUGAUCGGCCACAUUGGGACUGAGACACGGCCCAAACUCCUACGGGAGGCAGCAGGAGGGAAUCUUCGGCAAUGGACGAAAGUCUGACCGAGCAACGCCGCGUGAGUGAAGAAGGUUGUCGGAUCGUAAAACUCUGUUGGUAGAGAAGAACGUUGGUGAGAGUGGAAAGCUCAUCAAGUGACGGUAACUACCCAGAAAGGGACGGCUAACUACGUG